GACGAACGCUGGCGGCGUGCUUAACACAUGCAAGUCGAACGGAAAGGCCCCUUUGGGGGUACUCGAGUGGCGAACGGGUGAGUAACACGUGAGUAACCUGCCCUUGACUUCGGGUUAACUUCAGGAAACUGGGGCUAAUACCGGAUAGGAAUCCUUGCUUCCUGGUGGGGGUUGGAAAGCUUCAGCGGUUUUGGAUGGACUCGCGGCUUAUCAGCUUGUUGGUGGGGUAGUGGCUUACCAAGGCUUUGACGGGUAGCCGGCCUGAGAGGGCGACCGGCCACAUUGGGACUGAGAUACGGCCCAGACUCCUACGGGAGGCAGCAGGGGGGAAUAUUGCACAAUGGGCGGAAGCCUGAUGCAGCAACGCCGCGUGCGGGAUGACGGCCUUCGGGUUGUAAACCGCUUUCAGCAGGGGCGAAGCUUGUGGUGACGGUACCUGCAGAAGAAGCACCGGCUAACUACGUG
This 465-nucleotide ribosomal RNA is filed under the name uncultured bacterium. RNAcentral describes it as "partial 16S ribosomal RNA". It matches the Rfam family "Bacterial small subunit ribosomal RNA", at positions 28 to 507 of the family's 1533-position model. The record is from RNAcentral.